UACGUAGGGUGCGAGCGUUGUCCGGAAUUACUGGGGGUAAAGAGGUCGUAGGUGGUUUGUCGCGUUGUUCGUGAAAACCGGGGGCUUAACCCUCGGCGUGCGGGCGAUACGGGCAGACUUGAGUACUGCAGGGGAGACUGGAAUUCCUGGUGUAGCGGUGGAAUGCGCAGAUAUCAGGAGGAACACCGGUGGCGAAGGCGGGUCUCUGGGCAGUAACUGACGCUGAGGAGCGAAAGCGUGGGGAGCGAACAGG
This 253-nucleotide ribosomal RNA is filed under the name uncultured bacterium. RNAcentral describes it as "partial 16S ribosomal RNA". It matches the Rfam family "Bacterial small subunit ribosomal RNA", at positions 524 to 776 of the family's 1533-position model. The record is from RNAcentral.